CUUAAAGGUCAGUCUCACUCCCACUGUGCCACCCCAACAGCAUUGAGUGUAUUUGCAGGAAGCUGGUGGCCAGGGCUGAGAACUUGCCCCAGACUAUGAGCCACUGCAUUGAGAAAGCAAGCAGACUUGCAGUUUUUCAGUGUCUCAGGGAGCCUGCAGCAGCGAUCCAGUUCCCUCAAAGGGGAGCCUGAGUGCAUGCCUAACAAGAUUCAGGGAUGAGAGGAAGAAAAGGAAGCCAGGGCUUCUCGAAAGCUGACUUCUAUCUCGUGCUGGGCAGGUUCACUGAAG
Molecule: long non-coding RNA, 288 nt
Filed under: Homo sapiens (human)
Lineage: Eukaryota; Metazoa; Chordata; Mammalia; Primates; Hominidae
Description: HSALNT0300059
Source: RNAcentral